ACUUCGAAUUUUUAUUUCCUCUUCCUGGAAAGCGCAUGCUGGCUUCAGGUCUUAGUUAAAUGUUACCUCCCCUGAGAGGCCUUUCUUGGUGACUCAAUCUAAACUACUUUCCCUAUACCCACUUCACUCUCUCUCACUCAUCCUGUGUGAUUUCCUUCAUAGCAUUCAUCAUCAUCUGUAGCCAAGUGUUUGCUUAUUGCCUGUGUUCCAAGCUGGCAGGAAGCACCCCCCAGAGAAGAAAUGUCACCAACCUCGCUCACUGUGGUAUUCCAGAACUCAAUAAAUGCUUGUUGAAUGACUGAAUGGAGUCAACGUGGCUGAUUUGGUGAACCAUAGAAUCGAGUCAGAAGUACAGGAGACAUCUUGACACUAAAAGUAACUGUUUAUUGUUGGCUGUUCUGGGACGGUGGAAGGCCUCUACUCCAUGCAAUCAUUCAGGAAACCAAGCUGAUGGAAGCUCUGCAAUCUCCAACCAGUUGUUCUGUUCAUCCUUGACACCUUCAUUCUUUGGGAAGGGGGACAGCAUCGAAGGGCUCAGGAGGUUGUGCCAGUCUAGCCCUUUUUAUCAUUUUACCAUUUCCACCCUUUUUCCGUUGGAAAGGACAUAGUCAUUUAGCCACAUAACUGCGAAUGAAUCUAGGAAUCAUGGAGGAAAGGGUGAAUGGAUUUUAAUGGACAAUUAGCAGUCUCCGACAUGAGAUUUGGGAGAGGCCAACAGUGCUAAAACAAUAAUUUUUAAAAAUGUAUUUAGAAGUUGAGAGAAGGUAGAAAUCAGCGUGGAACAAAAUCUUCGGGAAGAGAUGGGAUGUGAUGGAACAAAAAACUGGAUAAAUGAAGAAAAAAGAAAUACAACUCACUCAAUAAAUACAUAUGGGUGCACUGUAUUUUGGAGAAAGAAUAUGUUUGCAAAGCUUUUUAAAUUAAAUCUUCAUAAGAAUGUGGGAGUAAAUGCCAAAGGAAUUCGUGAGUACCUAGUUUAAUGAUAAUCCAAAACAAACUUUAAGAAAACAAUGGAGAAAAAGACUUGUGGCUUCAAGGAUAAGAAUCAACCUUUGGAUUGGCCCCUGCCAGUUGUGUUGAACCUUCUGAAAUAGACACAUGGAGACUUGGAAAGAGACAGAUGGUGGUUGGAGCAAUGACAAAUGACUCAUCGCGGAGGAGCAAGGUGAGCCCAAGUGUCUGGAGAAUGUGUGGGUAAGUACACAAAAGUCAUUACAGGAAUUACAGGGUCUAGCAUGGCAUAGAAAGAAAGGGCUGGAAGAUGAAAGCGAGAUUGCUGGAAAGUCUGGAUGAGGAAUAUUAAGAACUCCCGGCUUGCUGUUCUUACCCAUCACAGUCAGAUAACUACGUAUCUCACACUCUCUCAGGAGAGGUUUGUUGCCUGGAGAAAAGCCAGAGAAGUUUAGGACUUGGGACCCCACAAGAAGAAGAGGGGAAUGCCAAACUGAAAACAGGGGAGUGCUGAAAUCUGCAUGCGGAAUGAUGAACCUCAACCCCUGUCCCCGCAACGUCCAGCUCCAGAAUGCCAGUCAGGCUCAUUUGUCUUUAGACAGACUGAGCAUCCUUCACUGGAGAACCUAAACUUUCCCGGAAAAAAAAGUCUCCAGAUACAGACAUUUGGGGGGCUUGGCACACAACUGAUCGAGUCCCCUACAACUCUCCCACACUCUGCAUCUCUCCGAGACCUCUCAUGCGCACAGAGCUUCCAGCAAGGUGAAGUAGGGAAAGCCCAGAGUGGAAAACCUGAGGAAGCCCUUCUUCCAUUCGUAAUGAGCACAGUCUUGACAUUGCGUGUGUGCAAUUCUGAGCAUCUGUGCUCCCCCUUGCAUUUUGUGUCCCAGGCAUUUUGCUCACCUUACUAACUCCUGGCUCUGGUUUCCAAUCAGCUUUAUAAUGCCCCAAUAUUAUAUAUGCAUGGACAACCAAGGAUCGCCAGAUAUUUAAAGAAAGCUUCUAAUAUCCAAGAGAGACCCCACAACAAACAAAGUGGAAAAAAAAAAACCCUCAGGAAAUGGAGAUAAUGUGAGGAGAAUUUAAAAAAUCUUCCCAGGAACUAUAAUUUUCACAUCCUUGGAGAGAAAAGAAAUGUCGCAUCUAUUUAAAAGAGAAAGUGAGUGGCACAAUGAAAAAAAAUGAAGAAAAUAUCAACGCGAUCUAGGAAAUUAAAAAUAUGAUAACAAAAUACAAAUUACUGGAAAAGCUGGAAGAUAAAAUUGAAGGCUAUCCCGAAAAGGAAAGCAAAAAAGACAGAAAGGAAAAAAAGGGACCGUUGGGAAGAAAUGCUAAGAAAGUCAGAGUCAACACAGAAUAUUCGAUAUCUUAUCAAUAAGGCUUCCAAAUAAGGAAACGAAAUGAUCAGAAGUAUAAGAAAAUGUAGAUGCCCAGGGUUUAUCAUUGGAGAGUUCUGAUUCAGAAGGUCAGUAGGCUGAAUUAAUGGAUUGAUUUUUUAUCUUUCCUCCAGC
Long non-coding RNA from Mustela lutreola (European mink), 2462 nucleotides. RefSeq lists it as uncharacterized. The record is from RefSeq and is a predicted model, not a curated record. Lineage: Eukaryota; Metazoa; Chordata; Mammalia; Carnivora; Mustelidae. The transcript is spliced from 5 exons.